RNAcentral lists this ribosomal RNA (253 nucleotides) under uncultured bacterium. RNAcentral describes it as "partial 16S ribosomal RNA". It matches the Rfam family "Bacterial small subunit ribosomal RNA", at positions 524 to 776 of the family's 1533-position model. The record is from RNAcentral.
UACGGGGGGGGCAAGCGUUGUUCGGAAUUACUGGGCGUAAAGGGCGUGUAGGUGGCCAACUAAGUCAGACGUGAAAUCCCUCGGCUUAACCGGGGAACUGCUUCUGAUACUGGAUGGCUGGAGUGUGGGAGAGGGAUGCGGAAUUCCAGGUGUAGCGGUGAAAUGCGUAGAUAUCUGGAGGAACACCGGUGGCGAAGGCGGCAUCCUGGACCAUUACUGACACUGAAACGCGAAAGCCAGGGGAGCAAACGGG